CAGAGUAGGAAUCCGUGCGUCAAGUGCUGGUGGAACGGGGAGUUGUCCACCGGACGAAAGAGGCAGAAGAAGCUUGGCCUCUGCGGUACCGAUUCCGCAUCCCGCUGU
RNAcentral lists this non-coding RNA (108 nucleotides) under uncultured Butyricicoccus sp. RNAcentral's name for it is "THF riboswitch". It matches the Rfam family "THF (Tetrahydrofolate) riboswitch aptamer". Rfam says of the family: THF riboswitch presents a pseudoknot that joins P1-P2 and the loop of P3 and two THF binding. The record is from RNAcentral. Lineage: Bacteria; Bacillati; Bacillota; Clostridia; Eubacteriales; Butyricicoccaceae.